ACACUUACCUGGUAGGGGAGAUACCAUGAUCAGAAAGUUGGUUUACCAAGAGCAAGGCUUGCCCACUGCACUGAGGGUGUGCUGCCCCCUGCGAUUAGCCCGAAUGUGGGAUAUUUGACUGCACAAUUUGUGGUAGUGAGAACUGUGUCCAAGCUUUUAA
Small nuclear RNA from Suncus etruscus (white-toothed pygmy shrew), 160 nucleotides. RefSeq annotates it as U1 spliceosomal RNA. The record is from RefSeq and is a predicted model, not a curated record. Lineage: Eukaryota; Metazoa; Chordata; Mammalia; Eulipotyphla; Soricidae. The transcript has a single exon.